This 211-nucleotide ribosomal RNA is filed under the name uncultured bacterium. RNAcentral describes it as "partial 16S ribosomal RNA". It matches the Rfam family "Bacterial small subunit ribosomal RNA", at positions 122 to 334 of the family's 1533-position model. The record is from RNAcentral.
CAACCUGCCCUUUACUCGGGGAUAGCCUUUCGAAAGAAAGAUUAAUACCCGAUAGCAUAAUGAUUCCGCAUGGUUUCAUUAUUAAAGGAUUCCGGUAAAGGAUGGGGAUGCGUUCCAUUAGGUUGUUGGUGAGGUAACGGCUCACCAAGCCUUCGAUGGAUAGGGGUUCUGAGAGGAAGGUCCCCCACAUUGGAACUGAGACACGGUCCAA